GAAGAUUCCCCGCCCCCACUUCUAGGCUUGGUUGAACCGUGCAGAUACCUUCUCGAAACAAAAGAUUUUCCUACCUGCUUAUACUUGGUAACCGAGGGAAUUACUAAGACUUCUUGCUCAUUUCUGAGUAUUGUCUUUAUAUCCUGACACUAUGAAUGCUACUUGGAUGCCUCUUAAGGGUCUCUUCUGCAGGGUCCCCAUGAAUUGUGGCUGAAGUUGUGCACAAACAAGUAUCUCCAGUGACAGGAGUGCCUUCUGAGGCAGCCAUUGCAUCUUCAUCUGCUGACACUCUGCUAGGCUGACUUCUGUAGUUUUCACCACUGAUCUUCAGUCCACCUCACAGAGCUCUAUAAAACGCUUAAAUCCUCUUUACAUCAUAGACUUUCAGCUACUUGAAGAUAGCCAUCAGCCGCUACGUGACUCUUUUCUCCAGGAUCUCCCUAAUACUAUGAACGCGGCAGAGAUAACGGACAAGCUCGGCCUCCAUUCCCUCCGCUACAGAAACUGGCACAUUCAGGCUACUUGUGCCACUACUGGACAUGGGCUUUACGAAGGCCUGAACUGGCUCGCCAACCAGUUCCAGAACCAGAACUGAUCAGAAGGAUCUAUUCUUUGUGCCUUGUGGCCACAUCAGCUAGCCUCUGCUGUGUGCACGUGUACGUGUGUGCUGGGAGUGGAGGCAGCUUUCUCACAGUGCCUUAUCCAUGCCGUAAGAAAAGCAGUGUUACAUUUUAAGAAACCCAGUGUUAAGUUUUAAACACCACCUUCCAUUUCAGUAGCUUUGAUGAUCAUUUUUGCAAUUGAUGGAGAAGUCCAGAGGGCUUGCUGGUGCUCGAAGGCCAGAGCGGGCUUCAUGGAGGCGAGUUGGAGCGGGGACUGAGUUCAGCUGUUGCAAUCCUGGUCUGGCGUCUGGAGUCCUGUUAGUCUUUGGCAUCCUUUCGUAAAAAGGAAGGAAUUGUCAUUCUUUUUUUUUUUUAAACCAUAUUUUUACUGUACCUUUUCAUGUUUAUUUAUUUUUUAUUAAAAAAAUUUUUUUUGAAACAGCCUCCCACUCUGUCGCCCAAGCUGGAGUGCAGUGGUGCGAUCUCAGCUCACUGCAACCUCCGUCUCUCGGGCUCAAGCAAUCCUCCCACCUCAGCCCCCUGAGUAGCUGAGACUAUGGGUGUGCACCACCACACCUGGCUAAUUUUUGUAUUUUUUGUGGAGACAGGGUCUUGCCAUGUUGCCCAGGCUGGUCUGUAACUCCUGAGCUCAAGGGAUCCACCCACCUCAGCCUUCCAAAAUGCUGGGAUUACAGGCAUGAGCCACUGCGCUACCGAGAAAUCGUCAUUCUUUACCACCACUGCUGCAGCUAGCAGCUCACUCUUCAGUGCUUUAAGCAAAUGAUCCUCAGGAAAGAAAAGGUAUUUGCUUAUUGCAGGUGCAAAGAGGCUCAGAUUGGAACUUUUCCCUGAAACUUUAUUGUAGCCCAGAGUUCCUGAUGUAAGACGCUUUAUUUAAAGACAUCCGUGAGCUUUUUCACUGGCAUAUCAAUACUUCAUAACACUAGGAAGGCUGGAGUGCAAUGGUGUGAUCUCUGCCUCCUGGGUUCAAGCGAUUCUCCUGCCUCAAGCUCCUGAGUAGCUGGGAUUACAGGCGCCCUCCACCACGCCCGGCGAAUUUUUGUAUCUUUAGUAGAGACAGGGUUUCACCACGUUGGCCAGGUUGGUCUUGAACUCCUGACCUCAUGAUCCGCCUGCCUCGGCCUCCCAAAGUGUUGGGAUUACAGGUGUGAGCCACCGCACCCGGCCUCUGAGAAAUAUUUAGAUUGUACGCCUCAAAUGGGCAGGGACUGUGUCUUACACUUUUGUAUUUAUGCUACAGCUUACCUAAUACAGUGCCAGGCCUCGUUAAACACUUAUUGAUUGCUCAGACGAUAAAGAACUUGCUUUGGAAGGAGGAGAGGAUAGUCAUGUGCUUCUGAAUGUAUUGAACUUCUUGAAAUCUCUUUCCUCAUCAAUUUUAGCAGAGUUUCUAUUGAAACUCCUAGGGUGUGUUUAUGGAAGACAAACUGAGAUGUGCUGUCCCAGCCUUAGGCCCUGGCAGUACGCCUUGCCUUUUCACGGCACACCCACUACAGCCUUUCCCACACUGUGACACUGGAGCUGGUGAGUCAGAUGCAUGGCAUGGGAAGCCCUCUCUAGGAGGAUGCUGUGGCCACACAAGCGCUGGACGAACCGCUGGAGUAGGUGACUUCCAAGGUGUCCUGAUGUAGUAGCUAUUAGACAAGCUCCUGCAUUUGGCCAGUAAUUAGCAUGCUGCUGCACAUUGCCACUAGGUGGUGCUGCUGCUCCAUUCCCAAGUAACCCACAUGCAUCCCUGGCUGGGGUCAGCCUUGGGGUUUCCCAAGUGUAGAGGAAUCCAUCUCUGUGCCUGUGGUAAUGGCUGGACACCAGGAGAGACCCAGAAAACAGGGAUAUCCUAGAAGAGAAAGGCAAAAUAAGCACUCAGAGCAGAGGACAUUUGAGUGUCAAUAAUGAAGGUGGCAGCAGUAAUCAUGGCUAUCAUUUACUAAAAAUAGUGGAUAUUGGCCAGACAUGGUGGCUCACACCUGUAAUCCCAGCAUUUUGGGAGACCAAGGUGGGUGGAUCACUUGAGGUCAGCAGUUCGAGACCAGCCCGGCCAACAUGGUGAAACUAUCUACUAAAAAUACAAAAAUUAGCCAGGUGUGGUGGUGCACGCCUGUAGUCCCAGCUACUCGGGAGGCUGAGGAAGGAGAAUCACUUGAACCUGGGAGGUGGAGGCUGUAGUGAGCUGAGAUCGCAUCACUGCACUCCAGCCUGGACAACAGAGCAAGACUGUCUCAAAAAAAAAAAGUAGAUACUGUGCUAGUCACUUGAUACACAUCAUCUCUGAUCUUUGCACUGAGCGAGGCAUGUGUAUUAUGUCUGCAUUACAAAAGGGGAAAAAUUAAGGUUCAAGAAGAUAAAGUCACCAGGCAUGGUGGCGCAUGCCUGUGAUCGCAGCACUUUAAGAGGCUGAGACAGGCGGAUUGGUUGAAUCCAGGAGUUCAAGACCAGCCUGGGCAACAUAGUGAGACCUCAUCUCUACAAAAAAAAUAAAAUUAGCUGGGUGUGGUGGUGUGUGCCUGUAGUCACAGCUCCUCGGGAGGCUGAUGUGGAAGGAUCACUUGAGCCCGGGAGAUAGAGGCUGCAGUGAGAUGAGACUGAGCCAUUGCACUCAGCCUAGGCAACAGAGUGAGACCCUGUCUCAAAACAAAACAGAAAUAACAAAAAAUAAGGUGACUUGCUGGAGGCCACAUGGCUGUGAGCCAAAUACAGGUCUGGGUUAUCAGGGCUCACAUACUUCUAAGUACACCCUACUGCCUUGGAAUCUGCUGAAGACCAAGCCCCUGCCCCCAAGCCAUGGCAAAGAAGGAGGGAAGGAAGCAAAGGUGCCCAGCGGGGACAACUCGGGGAGGGGCGAGGUGCCCAGGGCCCAGGAAGGCCAAGCAGCAUGUGGCAGGGCAGCAUCAGGUGACUCCCAAGAAGGAAUGAGGAGAGGAUGUGAGGAAAGAGCCACAGCACAGAGGCCUGCUGUUAGGUCAGCGGAGACCACGGCCCAUGGGACCUGGAUCUACCCUUGAUGCUAACAAUGUUCUUUGGGGAAAAAAUCUAUAAUCACAAAGUUUCUGCAACUGGACUGUAGUCAUGGUUGCAGAACUGUAUAGAUUUACUAGGAACCAUCAAAUUGUUCACUUACAAUGGGUAAAUUGUACAGUACAUAGGUUAUCCCUCAGUAAAGCUGUAUGAAAUUUAUAGUCAUGAAACUAAUAGUGACAAACGAGCUGGGUAAGUAGGUCUCAGCUGUUCUGUAGGCACUUUGAGAAGAGGAAGAGUAGCAUCUCGGUUUUAAUAAAAGAAAGCCUGGCCCAUGGCGUCCAGCUUCUGCUUGAAUACUUUCAGUGCCCGGGAGCUCAGUAUCUCAAAGCAGCCCACUCCUGUUUAAGAGAACUCUAAACCUUAGAAUGUUGAAAUACAUCAUUAUUAUUCUAGUACUGCUGUGAAAAAUAAAUGUCUUUGUUUUGCCACAUAACA
Homo sapiens (human) is the source of this 4076-nucleotide long non-coding RNA. RefSeq annotates it as long independently transcribed non-coding RNA 2210. Lineage: Eukaryota; Metazoa; Chordata; Mammalia; Primates; Hominidae. The record is from RefSeq and is marked validated.